RNAcentral lists this ribosomal RNA (164 nucleotides) under Opsanus tau (oyster toadfish). RNAcentral's name for it is "partial small subunit ribosomal RNA". Lineage: Eukaryota; Metazoa; Chordata; Actinopteri; Batrachoidiformes; Batrachoididae. The record is from RNAcentral.
CACCGCGGUUACACGAAUGACUAAAGUUGAUAACUACGGCACAAAGGGUGGUUAAUAAUAAUUAAAUAAAGUCAAACAUAUUUACAGUUGUAUCAAGCAAAAUAAUAUAUGAAGCCCAAUCCCGAAAGAAACUUUAUUACUUUGACACCACGUAAACUAUCUAA